This is a long non-coding RNA of Canis lupus familiaris (dog), 896 nucleotides long. RefSeq lists it as uncharacterized. NCBI's taxonomy places the organism in Eukaryota, Metazoa, Chordata, Mammalia, Carnivora, Canidae. The record is from RefSeq and is a predicted model, not a curated record. The transcript is spliced from 3 exons.
GGGCAGCAGCCGGAGACCGCGCAUUGCGCGCAGUGACCGUGCGUCCGCGGCGCCCCUCGGCCGGCCUCCCGCCUCCGCCCGGGGGAAGACGCGCGAGGAGCGUGGGCGCCUGAACGCGGCAUCGCGGACGUCGCCAGACCAACUUAACUCACCCCCAGUCAGAAAAAACGAGAACCUGUCUCCAGGCUGGGACCUGCCGCCCACCCAGAGUUUCCACUGGCACCUCAGAAGCUCUGGGAUGCGGUGGGGGAAAUAGAGACCUGGUGGAUGAGGCCUUUCUCAGGCCAAGCCUCCCCACCCCCAGAAUACAGUCGGGAUAGCACACUGAAUUUCCUGGCGAAGUCACUCCUAAGACUUGGCUGUGACAGUUUCUCAGACAUUCCUUGUUUCUGAGGACUUUGAGAGUUUUGAGGAGCGCUGGUCCAGUAUUCUGCAGAAUGUACUUCCGUUGGGAUGUGUCUAAUAUUUUUCUCACAAUGAGAAUCAGACGAAUGCAUUUUGGGGAGGAAGGCCAGAAGUGCCAUUCAAGGGCACAACAUGUCAAGGGUAUAUACUGUCAAUGUGACUUAUCACUGUUGACGUUGACCUUGAUCAUCUGGUGAAAUUAUAUUUACUUUGAUUAGAUUAUAUGUGCACGUGGUACAAAAGUUUAAAGUACGAGUUAAAAAGUCUCCCCCAGGCUCUUGCCUCCUCCUCCUUCAAAACAUGGGUCCCCUCACCAAGGGCGGCCACGUCGGGGCCCUGGAAUACAGCGCUUUCCACGGUUGAAGGGGGGUUGCAGACACGGCUAAGUUAAGGGUCUUGAGACAGGGAGAUCCCUCUGGACUAUCAGGAUGGGCCCAGUGUGAUCGCCAGGGUCUUUAUGGGAGGUCAGGCGCGAGCAUCAGCGCGAGGGA